Molecule: long non-coding RNA, 503 nt
Filed under: Manacus vitellinus (golden-collared manakin)
Lineage: Eukaryota; Metazoa; Chordata; Aves; Passeriformes; Pipridae
Description: lncRNA (ENSMVIG00005015822.1)
Source: RNAcentral
AUGUAUUGCAAAAUAAUUCUCUCCUUUCUCCCAAGUUUUGCAUUUCAAGAACCCCUCAAGUAUUUGAGAAAAAUUGUUCUGUUUGUUAACUACUCCCUGUGCUCACUUUUCAGUUUCCCUGACCUCAUCUUCCUGCCAGUGGAUUUACUAAUCCUUUGCCUGUGGAAUGACAGAGUCCUGCUUCCCAGAUCCCAAGAGAAAGCAGCAGCUGUGAAGGAAAGAAAAGUAAAUAUUCAGCACAGGAGCUGGACUGGGCCCGGAUUUUAUUUUUUUUUGGUGAAAAUCCAAAUGCUCUCUCUAAGGUCUCAGUGAGACUUUGAGCCAUGGUCAGCUGGACCAUCAUGGGCAGAGCCCCUCGUUUGCUUCAGUCUUUUGGAAGGUAAAGGAGAGAAGUGAAGAAAGCCCAGCGGUCCCCAAACUGUGUGAAUCGACCUGCUUGGGGCUGUGUUGUAAAAACAUUAGAUUGGAGAUCUGGGCAUAAUAAACGCAAGAUAACAUUGCCA